Molecule: ribosomal RNA, 253 nt
Filed under: uncultured bacterium
Lineage: Bacteria
Description: partial 16S ribosomal RNA
Rfam family: Bacterial small subunit ribosomal RNA
Source: RNAcentral
UACGAAGGGGGCUAGCGUUGUUCGGAAUCACUGGGCGUAAAGGGCGCGUAGGCGGCCGAUCAAGUCGGGGGUGAAAGCCUGUGGCUCAACCACAGAAUUGCCUUCGAUACUGUUUGGCUUGAGACCGGAAGAGGUUAGUGGAACUGCGAGUGUAGAGGUGAAAUUCGUAGAUAUUCGCAAGAACGCCAGUGGCGAAGGCGGCUGACUGGUCCGGUUCUGACGCUGAGGCGCGAAAGCGUGGGGAGCAAACAGG